GAUGAACGCUGGCGGCGUGCCUAAUACAUGCAAGUCGAGCGAACAGACGAGGAGCUUGCUCCUCUGACGUUAGCGGCGGACGGGUGAGUAACACGUGGAUAACCUACCUAUAAGACUGGGAUAACUUCGGGAAACCGGAGCUAAUACCGGAUAAUAUAUUGAACCGCGUGGUUCAAUAGUGAAAGACGGUUUUGCUAUCACUUAUAGAUGGAUCCGCGCCGCAUUAGCUAGUUGGUAAGGUAACGGCUUACCAAGGCAACGAUGCGUAGCCGACCUGAGAGGGUGAUCGGCCACACUGGAACUGAGACACGGUCCAGACUCCUACGGGAGGCAGCAGUAGGGAAUCUUCCGCAAUGGGCGAAAGCCUGACGGAGCAACGCCGCGUGAGUGAUGAAGGUCUUCGGAUCGUAAAACUCUGUUAUUAGGGAAGAACAAAUGUGUAAGUAACUAUGCACGUCUUGACGGUACCUAAUCAGAAAGCCACGGCUAACUACGUG
This 497-nucleotide ribosomal RNA is filed under the name uncultured bacterium. RNAcentral describes it as "partial 16S ribosomal RNA". It matches the Rfam family "Bacterial small subunit ribosomal RNA", at positions 28 to 507 of the family's 1533-position model. The record is from RNAcentral.